GGAGGGGUACCGAAGUGGUUUAACGGAGCGGUUUCGAAAACCGCGACUCGCAAGAGUCUCGUGAGUUCGAAUCUCACCCCCUCCG
RNAcentral lists this transfer RNA (85 nucleotides) under Candidatus Staskawiczbacteria bacterium. RNAcentral's name for it is "tRNA-Ser". It matches the Rfam family "tRNA". From Rfam's summary of the family: Transfer RNA (tRNA) molecules are approximately 80 nucleotides in length. Their secondary structure includes four short double-helical elements and three loops (D, anti-codon, and T loops). Further hydrogen bonds mediate the characteristic L-shaped molecular structure. tRNAs have two regions of fundamental functional importance: the anti-codon, which is responsible for specific mRNA codon recognition, and the 3' end, to which the tRNAs corresponding amino acid is attached (by aminoacyl-tRNA synthetases). tRNAs cope with the degeneracy of the genetic code in two manners: having more than one tRNA (with a specific anti-codon) for a particular amino acid; and 'wobble' base-pairing, i.e. permitting non-standard base-pairing at the 3rd anti-codon position. The record is from RNAcentral. Lineage: Bacteria; Candidatus Staskawicziibacteriota.